AUGCAAGUCGAGCGGUACAGAUCCAGCUUGCUGGAUGCUGACGAGCGGCGGACGGGUGAGUAAUGCAUAGGAAUCUGCCCGAUAGUGGGGGAUAACCUGGGGAAACCCAGGCUAAUACCGCAUACGUCCUACGGGAGAAAGGGGGCUUCGGCUCCCGCUAUCGGAUGAGCCUAUGUCGGAUUAGCUAGUUGGUGAGGUAAAGGCUCACCAAGGCAACGAUCCGUAGCUGGUCUGAGAGGAUGAUCAGCCACAUCGGGACUGAGACACGGCCCGAACUCCUACGGGAGGCAGCAGUGGGGAAUAUUGGACAAUGGGGGCAACCCUGAUCCAGCCAUGCCGCGUGUGUGAAGAAGGCCCUCGGGUUGUAAAGCACUUUCAGCGAGGAAGAACGCCUAGCGGUUAAUACCCGCUAGGAAAGACAUCACUCGCAGAAGAAGCACCGGCUAACUCCGUGCCAGCAGCCGCGGUAAUACGGAGGGUGCAAGCGUUAAUCGGAAUUACUGGGCGUAAAGCGCGCGUAGGUGGCUUGAUAAGCCGGUUGUGAAAGCCCCGGGCUCAACCUGGGAACGGCAUCCGGAACUGUCAAGCUAGAGUGCAGGAGAGGAAGGUAGAAUUCCCGGUGUAGCGGUGAAAUGCGUAGAGAUCGGGAGGAAUACCAGUGGCGAAGGCGGCCUUCUGGACUGACACUGACACUGAGGUGCGAAAGCGUGGGUAGCAAACAGGAUUAGAUACCCUGGUAGUCCACGCCGUAAACGAUGUCGACCAGCCGUUGGGUGCCUAGCGCACUUUGUGGCGAAGUUAACGCGAUAAGUCGACCGCCUGGGGAGUACGGCCGCAAGGUUAAAACUCAAAUGAAUUGACGGGGGCCCGCACAAGCGGUGGAGCAUGUGGUUUAAUUCGAUGCAACGCGAAGAACCUUACCUACUCUUGACAUCCUGCGAAUUCGGUAGAGAUACCUUAGUGCCUUCGGGAACGCAGAGACAGGUGCUGCAUGGCUGUCGUCAGCUCGUGUUGUGAAAUGUUGGGUUAAGUCCCGUAACGAGCGCAACCCUUGUCCUUAUUUGCCAGCGCGUAAUGGCGGGAACUCUAAGGAGACUGCCGGUGACAAACCGGAAGAAGGUGGGGACGACGUCAAGUCAUCAUGGCCCUUACGAGUAGGGCUACCCACGUGCUACAAUGGUCG
Molecule: ribosomal RNA, 1183 nt
Filed under: Halomonas taeheungii
Lineage: Bacteria; Pseudomonadati; Pseudomonadota; Gammaproteobacteria; Oceanospirillales; Halomonadaceae
Description: bacterial SSU rRNA
Rfam family: Bacterial small subunit ribosomal RNA
Source: RNAcentral